GCCAGGCAUGGUGGCGCACACCUGUAAUCCCAGCGACUUGGGAGGCUGAGGCAGGAGGAUCACAAGUUCAAGACCAGCCUCAGCAACUUAGUGAAACCCUGUCUCAA
This 107-nucleotide small RNA is filed under the name Marmota monax (woodchuck). Lineage: Eukaryota; Metazoa; Chordata; Mammalia; Rodentia; Sciuridae. The record is from RNAcentral.